RNAcentral lists this ribosomal RNA (444 nucleotides) under uncultured microorganism. Its description in RNAcentral is "bacterial SSU rRNA". It matches the Rfam family "Bacterial small subunit ribosomal RNA", at positions 346 to 780 of the family's 1533-position model. The record is from RNAcentral.
GUGCAGCAGUCGCGAAUAGUCUACAAUGGACGAAAGUCUGAUAGUGCGACGCCGUGUGUGCGAUUAAUUCCUUCGGGAUGUAAAGCACUUUUCUAUGAGAUAAAAGCUCUUUAGGUUAAUAGCUUAUUGAGACGGAUAUUAUUAUAGGAAUAAGCUCCGGCUAACUCCGUGCCAGCAGCCGCGGUAAUACGGAAGGAGCGAGCGUUGUCCGGAUUUACUAGGCGUAAAGGGCUAGUAGGCGACUAAUUAAGUUAUAUGUUAAAUCCCACGGCUCAACUGUGGUCCUGCAUGUAAUACUGGUUAGAUAGAGUACUGUAGAGGAAGGCAGAAUUCCUGGAGUAGCGGUGGAAUGCGCAGAUAUCAGGAAGAAUACCAAAAGCGAAGGCAGCCUUCUGGGCAGUUACUGACGCUGAAUAGCGAAGGUGUGGGUAGCGAACAGGAUUA